RNAcentral lists this long non-coding RNA (398 nucleotides) under Danio rerio (zebrafish). RNAcentral's name for it is "si:dkey-13i15.2 (ENSDARG00000096793.2)". The record is from RNAcentral. Lineage: Eukaryota; Metazoa; Chordata; Actinopteri; Cypriniformes; Danionidae.
AGACGAUGAUGAGGGCCUCUUCUGUUUGGUAAAGGGAUAUGCUGAGAUGGGACCAACCAUAUAUUGCGGCAAAAGAAAGAAGAGGACAUUAGAACAAUAACAACAGGAGACGGAUAAAGAUACCUGGAAUGCAUUGAGGAGUGUAAACAACACAUGGACGCCUAAUGCACUUGACAGCAUGGUUCCAAUUCCAAAUCCCCAUGUUAGACCAAAAAGAGGAGUCAAAAAGGCCACACAUCGGACAACGACAAAAAAGAUGGAAUUUGGACCACAGACAGAAGGGCUUGGCUGACACUCAUUUAUAUCUGAAUAGGAAAGAUUCUUCAGUUGUCGAGGAUAUUUUGCAUAUUUGAAUGCAGUAACUAUGAUUUCAAGAUCCAUCUUAAAAACCUUUUUAC